UUGGGGAUUAGCCAAGUCGGUAAGGCACAUGACUUUGACUCAUCUCUGCGUAGGCUCGACUCCUGUCCCUUAUAC
RNAcentral lists this transfer RNA (75 nucleotides) under Clostridioides difficile. RNAcentral's name for it is "tRNA-Gln". It matches the Rfam family "tRNA". Rfam says of the family: Transfer RNA (tRNA) molecules are approximately 80 nucleotides in length. Their secondary structure includes four short double-helical elements and three loops (D, anti-codon, and T loops). Lineage: Bacteria; Bacillati; Bacillota; Clostridia; Peptostreptococcales; Peptostreptococcaceae. The record is from RNAcentral.